RNAcentral lists this transfer RNA (76 nucleotides) under Sarcina ventriculi. RNAcentral describes it as "Clostridium ventriculi tRNA-Ala(tgc)". It matches the Rfam family "tRNA". Rfam says of the family: Transfer RNA (tRNA) molecules are approximately 80 nucleotides in length. Their secondary structure includes four short double-helical elements and three loops (D, anti-codon, and T loops). RNAcentral also lists the same sequence under 8 other names. The record is from RNAcentral. Lineage: Bacteria; Bacillati; Bacillota; Clostridia; Eubacteriales; Clostridiaceae.
GGGGGUAUAGCUCAGUUGGGAGAGCACCUGCCUUGCACGCAGGGGGUCAAGAGUUCGAAUCUCUUUACCUCCACCA